UGAAGUAAAAGUCGUAACAAGGUUUCCGUAGGUGAACCUGCGGAAGGAUCAUUAUUGGAUUUUGAAACUUCAGGCUGCUGCUGGCUCUCCUCGGAGGGCAUGUGCACGCUUGUUGUCCAUUAUUUCUCCCACUGUGCACAAAUUGUAGACCUUUCAGUAGGCCUAUGUUGUUUUUCACAAUCUCUGAAUGUAAUAGAAUGGUUUUGAAUCUUGGGAAAUACAAUACAACUUUCAGCAACGGAUCUCUUGGCUCUC
This 255-nucleotide unclassified non-coding RNA is filed under the name plant metagenome. RNAcentral describes it as "partial contains small subunit ribosomal RNA, internal transcribed spacer 1, and 5.8S ribosomal RNA". The stretch from base 1 to 54 matches the Rfam family "Eukaryotic small subunit ribosomal RNA", at positions 1778 to 1831 of the family's 1831-position model. The record is from RNAcentral.